Long non-coding RNA from Ixodes scapularis (black-legged tick), 432 nucleotides. RefSeq lists it as uncharacterized. The record is from RefSeq and is a predicted model, not a curated record. Lineage: Eukaryota; Metazoa; Arthropoda; Arachnida; Ixodida; Ixodidae. The transcript has 3 exons.
AGGGGUCACUCGUGCGCGACCGAAGACCCGGGGAAAACCAGCGAGGGCCUUUAAAAAGGUGGCCGGGUGACCUCCAAUCACAGUGGGAUCAGUGCAUCCGUCUGGAAACGCAGAACGAGCCGAGGUUCAUCAUGAUCAGAAACAUUCUCAUCGCCGCGCUUCUCAUCGCGGCCCUGUGCGGCUUGGCUGCUGCGCAGUUCGGCUACUACGGAGGCUACGGAGGCUACGGUCGCCGCUUCGGAGGCUACGGCUUCGGCCGCGGCUUCGGCUACGGUGGAUACGGCCGAGGGUUCUAUGGAGGCUACGGACGCGGUUUCUAUGGUCGUGGCUUCUACGGCUAAAUCAGGAGAUACUAUACGCUACCCACCCCGACCUGGUCCGAGCCUCCCUGGACACCGUGCAAGUAAUAAACAUUCAGUAAUUGCUCCUCUC